Molecule: ribosomal RNA, 150 nt
Filed under: uncultured bacterium
Lineage: Bacteria
Description: partial 16S ribosomal RNA
Source: RNAcentral
CACGUAGUUAGCCGGGGCUUCUUCUGCAGGUACCGUCACCUCAGUGUCCCGAGGCUUCUUCCCUGCUGAAAGAGGUUUACGACCCGAAGGCCUUCAUCCCUCACGCGGCAUCGCUGCAUCAGGCUUGCGCCGAUUGUGCAAGAUUCCCGA